Molecule: microRNA precursor, 59 nt
Filed under: Eisenia fetida (common brandling worm)
Lineage: Eukaryota; Metazoa; Annelida; Clitellata; Crassiclitellata; Lumbricidae
Description: Efe-Mir-281-P6_pre stem-loop
Source: RNAcentral
AGGGGAGCAUUUCCUGAGGACAGAUUUUAUUAAACACUGUCAUGGAUAUGCUCUCUUUA